CCUACGGGUGGCAGCAGUGAGGAAUAUUGGUCAAUGGACGAGAGUCUGAACCAGCCAAGUAGCGUGAAGGAUGAAUGCCCUAUGGAUUGUACACUUCUUUUAUAAGGGAAUAAAGCGAGGGACGUGUCCCUUUUUGCAUGUACUUUAUGAAUAAGGAUCGGCUAACUCCGUGCCAGCAGCCGCGGUAAUACGGAGGAUCCGAGCGUUAUCCGGAUUUAUUGGGUUUAAAGGGAGCGUAGAUGGGUUUUUAAGUCAGUGGUGAAAGUUUGCGGCUCAACCGUAAAAUUGCCAUUGAUACUGGCAGUCUUGAGUAUAUUUGAGGUAGGCGGAAUUCGUGGUGUAGCGGUGAAAUGCUUAGAUAUCACGCAGAACCCCGAUUGCGAAGGCAGCUUACCAAACUGUGACUGACACUGAUGCUCGAAAGUGUGGGUAUCAAACAGGAUUAGAUACCCCAGUAGUC
RNAcentral lists this ribosomal RNA (460 nucleotides) under uncultured bacterium. RNAcentral's name for it is "partial 16S ribosomal RNA". It matches the Rfam family "Bacterial small subunit ribosomal RNA", at positions 338 to 795 of the family's 1533-position model. The record is from RNAcentral.